AUUGAACGCUGGCGGCAUGCUUUACACAUGCAAGUCGAACGGUAACAGGUCUUCGGAUGCUGACGAGUGGCGAACGGGUGAGUAAUACAUCGGAACGUGCCUAGUAGUGGGGGAUAACUACUCGAAAGAGUAGCUAAUACCGCAUGAGAUCUACGGAUGAAAGCAGGGGACCUUCGGGCCUUGUGCUACUAGAGCGGCUGAUGGCAGAUUAGGUAGUUGGUGGGGUAAAGGCUUACCAAGCCUGCGAUCUGUAGCUGGUCUGAGAGGACGACCAGCCACACUGGGACUGAGACACGGCCCAGACUCCUACGGGAGGCAGCAGUGGGGAAUUUUGGACAAUGGGCGAAAGCCUGAUCCAGCAAUGCCGCGUGCAGGAUGAAGGCCCUCGGGUUGUAAACUGCUUUUGUACGGAACGAAAAGCCUGGGGCUAAUAUCCUCGGUCAUGACGGUACCUAAGAUAG
This 461-nucleotide ribosomal RNA is filed under the name Comamonas testosteroni. RNAcentral's name for it is "bacterial SSU rRNA". It matches the Rfam family "Bacterial small subunit ribosomal RNA", at positions 30 to 490 of the family's 1533-position model. Lineage: Bacteria; Pseudomonadati; Pseudomonadota; Betaproteobacteria; Burkholderiales; Comamonadaceae. The record is from RNAcentral.